AAGACUACACUUAUUUCAGGGAUCAUUUCUAUAGUUCGACACUGGGGCAGUUUCUCUGCAGAGCAGCGGACACCACAGGAGGCGGAAUGGCAUUCUCUCCUGAGCCUUAAGCUGGCUCUGCGUGCUGCUCUGCUGCAAGUGCCACACGCCAUCAAUGACUGUUACUGCUCUCCUUUGGGAGGGCUGCAGGGAGAGAAUGCAGUCUGAGGGGA
Small nucleolar RNA from Jaculus jaculus (lesser Egyptian jerboa), 212 nucleotides. Its record names the gene U3. It matches the Rfam family "Small nucleolar RNA U3". From Rfam's summary of the family: Small nucleolar RNAs (snoRNAs) are involved in the processing and modification of rRNA in the nucleolus. The record is from Ensembl. NCBI's taxonomy places the organism in Eukaryota, Metazoa, Chordata, Mammalia, Rodentia, Dipodidae.